RNAcentral lists this ribosomal RNA (255 nucleotides) under uncultured bacterium. RNAcentral's name for it is "partial 16S ribosomal RNA". It matches the Rfam family "Bacterial small subunit ribosomal RNA", at positions 524 to 776 of the family's 1533-position model. The record is from RNAcentral.
UACGAAGGGGGCUAGCGUUGCUCGGAAUCACUGGGCGUAAAGGGUGCGUAGGCGGGUCUUUUAAGUCAGGGGUGAAAUCCUGGAGCUCAACUCCAGAACUGCCUUUGAUACUGAAGAUCUUGAGUUCGGGAGAGGUGAGUGGAACUGCGAGUGUAGAGGUGAAAUUCGCAGAUAUCGGGAAGAACACCCGUGGCGAAGGCGGCUCUCUGGGACGGUACUGACGCUGAGACGCGAAAAGCGUGGGGAGCGAACAGG